This is a long non-coding RNA of Zingiber officinale, 584 nucleotides long. RefSeq lists it as uncharacterized. Lineage: Eukaryota; Viridiplantae; Streptophyta; Magnoliopsida; Zingiberales; Zingiberaceae. The record is from RefSeq and is a predicted model, not a curated record. The transcript is spliced from 2 exons.
UUAAUAAGAAGAAGCGCACCUCUACUCGGUGCCUCGCCUCGCAAGGGCUGGAGGUGACGAUAUUUCAAAGCAAUUGAACCAAACGAAGAGAAAGCUCGAAAGUGAGCUCUGAUCAAGACCCACUUGCCACAAACGCCUGAUGGAGUUCUUUCGAGAAACGCUGGAGGAUUCCGGUCACUAGAGAUGUCCUUGUGUCUAGAAAUGUUUCUUCUGGAGCUAGGGUUGCUGUAGGACAGCACAGACCCUUCACUGGGAAAAAUGGCGAGAGUGGGACGAGAGCUAAUGAUGUCGGGGUUCAUCUGGUUAGUCCUGACUUUUGAUCCCUUCUUUAAGGUUCUCUCCAACAUGGAUGGAAGGUUCAAGAGUCGUCCAAGUUAUCUAUCUAUUGAAGUGCAAGUGUUCAGGGAGGAGAAUCAAGAAUUGAGAGCUCUGGUAGAACAAGUAAAGGCAGCAGUCAGCCUCAUUCAUUAGCUUAUCCUUUUGUUUUGCUCCACUUUUCAAGACUGCAUGUUGUGGAUAAAUAUUUGUAUUUUGAAAUUGAUGAUUUGGAUGCUAUUAUUAAAUAAUAAAUUAAUUGAUAUUGA